Molecule: ribosomal RNA, 402 nt
Filed under: uncultured organism
Description: bacterial SSU rRNA
Rfam family: Bacterial small subunit ribosomal RNA
Source: RNAcentral
UGGAUUAGGCAUGCAAGUCGCACGAGAAAGGGUCUUCGGACCCAAGUACAGUGGCGAAAGGGUGAGUAAUGCAUGGAUAACCUACCCGAGAGACGGGGAUAAGCACUGGAAACGGUGUCUAAUACCCGAUGCCCUCGAGAUGUCGCAUGACGCUUGAGGAAAGGUGGCCUCUGUAUACAAGCUACCGCUUUCGGAGGGGUCCAUGUCCUAUCAGCUAGUUGGUGAGGUAACGGCUACCAAGGCUAUGACGGGUAGUCGGUCUGAGAGGACGACCGACCACACUGGGACUGAGACACUGCCCAGACUCCUACGGGAGGCUGCAGUCGAGAAUCUUCCGCAAUGGGCGCAAGCCUGACGGAGCGACGCCGCGUGUAGGAUGAAGGCCUUCGGGUUGUAAACUAC